GACGAACGCUGGCGGCGUGCCUAAUACAUGCAAGUAGAACGCUGAAGGAGGAGCUUACUUCUCUGGAUGAGUUGCGAACGGGUGAGUAACGCGUAGGUAACCUGCCUGGUAGCGGGGGAUAACUAUUGGAAACGAUAGCUAAUACCGCAUAAGAGUAGAUGUUGCAUGACAUUUACUUAAAAGGUGCAAUUGCACCACUACCAGAUGGACCUGCGUUGUAUUAGCUAGUUGGUGGGGUAACGGCUUACCAAGGCGACGAUACAUAGCCGACCUGUGAGGGUGGUCGGCCACACUGGGACUGAGACACGGCCCAGACUCCUACGGGAGGCAGCAGUAGGGAAUAUUCGGCAAUGGACGGAAGUCUGACCGAGCAACGCCGCGUGAGUGAAGAAGGUUUUCGGAUCGUAAAGCUCUGUUGUAAGAGAAGAACGAGUGUGAGAGUGGAAAGUUCACACUGUGACGGUAUCUUACCAGAAAGGGACGGCUAACUACGUGCCAGCCGCCGCCGUAA
This 511-nucleotide ribosomal RNA is filed under the name uncultured bacterium. RNAcentral's name for it is "partial 16S ribosomal RNA". It matches the Rfam family "Bacterial small subunit ribosomal RNA", at positions 28 to 523 of the family's 1533-position model. The record is from RNAcentral.